Molecule: long non-coding RNA, 1215 nt
Filed under: Cervus hanglu yarkandensis (Yarkand deer)
Lineage: Eukaryota; Metazoa; Chordata; Mammalia; Artiodactyla; Cervidae
Description: lncRNA (ENSCHYG00000013612.1)
Source: RNAcentral
CCCGCACCAUGGAGGCGGCCCCCGGCUGCGGCGCCUGAAUCGUGGCCUCCCCGGAGGUUGGAGGAGGAGAAAGAAAACCCACAAAACUCCCCAAAUGGGAGGCAGCUUGGCCGGGCAGGAGGAGGAGCGGGGCGGGCCGGGGCGUCGCUGCGGGACCUCAUCCAAGGGCGCGCGCUCUGCCCCGUCCCCGCGGCCUCCCGAGGGCUGCAGGGUGGGCCAGGCCCCCCGGAGCUGCCUGUCCUAGGCCGCGGGGGCACCCCGGGUCCACAUGGGCCCAAAGCUCCCUUCCAGUGCCAGGACGGGCGAGGAGGUGGGAGCUGGGGCUGCGCUCGACGCCUCUCCGGGCCGCUCAGGACGGCCCCGAGGGCAGGGAGAAGCCGCCGGGGCGGUCGGGCUGGACGAGCGAGUUUAGGGGCCAACCUUCUCCACCCGGAGCCGCGCCGGAGAGCGGUGCUCCCGGGGCUGAGAUCCGGGCGUCGGGGGCUCUGCCGCAGCUCCGCUGGGAGGGAGGGGGCGGGGGUAGUGAAAAUCGAGAAGUUCGUCUCUCUUCAAAGUCGCUCGACUUGGCAGCGGAGGCCAGGCUGGAGCCAAAGGCCUCGGAGAGCAGGGCGGCUGGGCUGGAGCACCCCAGUGGCGGCCUUCUGCCCCACCGCUCGAAGCCCCCAAGGCGGGCUCCCGAGCACGCACACUUGCUCGCAGCGCGCCUGGGGGUCUGGGGGCGCCGGGACCGCGCCUCGCUACGCGCACGCGGACCGGGCUCGAGGGGGCGGGACGGCCUUCCCCACGCGCCCCCCUCCAACCCUCGGCGCCAGUACUCCCGCUCCCACCCUCGGCCCCCUGGCCCAGGACGCUGGCCCCCGCCGCCCCGCUUACACGCGCCCUUGGCGGGGCCCCUUUGAGCGCCCCAGGGCUGGUGGCGGCCCGGGUGUCUCUGGGAACGGAGAGAAAGGCCGCAAAGCAAAAGAAGGAGCAGAGAGAAGAAGGCUAAGGAGGCGCAGAGGCCAGGGUCCUGCGGACUCGCCUGGAAGUGGGGUUGGGGGGGCCACUGAGAGCGCUGGAAAGGGUCCGGGGGUCGCGCGCGGCUUUCAGGCUCACCCCCCGCUCGCGGCUCCCCUCCCCUCCCCUUCCCAGGCUCCCGGCGCCCCCUGGGUGCAGCUCCUUUCUCCUCCCCUCGGGCCCUCUCGGCUCCGGCGCGGGGAUCAGUCCCGGGAUUAA